GACGUAGGGGGCCAGCGUUGCUCGGAAUUACUGGGUGUAAAGGGUUCGUAGGCGGUGCGGCAAGUUGGGAGUGAAAUCUCUGGGCUUAACCCAGAGGCUGCUUCCAAAACUGCUGUGCUCGAGUGUGGGAGAGGCGCGUGGAAUUGCAGGUGUAGCGGUGAAAUGCGCAGAUAUCAGGAAGAACACCAAUGGCGAAGGCAGCUCUCUGGGACGGUACUGACGCUGAGACGCGAAAGCGUGGGGAGCGAACAGG
RNAcentral lists this ribosomal RNA (253 nucleotides) under uncultured bacterium. RNAcentral describes it as "partial 16S ribosomal RNA". It matches the Rfam family "Bacterial small subunit ribosomal RNA", at positions 524 to 776 of the family's 1533-position model. The record is from RNAcentral.